AGGAGUGUAGCUAAAUAGCAGAGCAUGUGCUUAGCAAGUAUGAGACCCUGGGUUCAAUCCCUAGCACCUA
This 70-nucleotide transfer RNA is filed under the name Fukomys damarensis (Damara mole-rat). It matches the Rfam family "tRNA". From Rfam's summary of the family: Transfer RNA (tRNA) molecules are approximately 80 nucleotides in length. Lineage: Eukaryota; Metazoa; Chordata; Mammalia; Rodentia; Bathyergidae. The record is from Rfam by way of RNAcentral.